AGUUUGACUCCGUGGCUACGAGGACGAACGCUGGCGGCGUGCUUAACACAUGCAAGUCGAACGAGGAUGGAGGAGAGCUUGCUUGAAUCCAUUCGAGUGGCGGACGGGUGAGUAACGCGUGAGCAACCUGUCUCACACAGGGGAAUAACGCAUCGAAAGAUGUGCUAAUACCGCAUAGGACCACGGUGUCGCAUGGCAUUGAGGUGAAAGGAGGAAUCCGGUGUGAGGUGGGCUCGCGUCUGAUUAGAUAGUUGGUGGGGUAACGGCCUACCAAGUCAACGAUCAGUAGCCGACCUGAGAGGGUGAUCGGCCACAUUGGGACUGAGACACGGCCCAGACUCCUACGGGAGGCAGCAGUGGGGAAUAUUGGGCAAUGGGCGCAAGCCUGACCCAGCAACGCCGCGUGAAGGAAGAAGGUUUUCGGAUCGUAAAACUUCUGUCCUUGGUGAAGAUAGUGACGGUAGCCAAGGAGGAAGCCCCGGCUAACUACGUGCC
RNAcentral lists this ribosomal RNA (495 nucleotides) under uncultured organism. RNAcentral describes it as "SSU rRNA". It matches the Rfam family "Bacterial small subunit ribosomal RNA", at positions 1 to 509 of the family's 1533-position model. The record is from RNAcentral.